AUGAACGCUGGCGGCGUGCUUAACACAUGCAAGUCGAGCGAAGCGCCUCGAAGUUUUCGGACAGAUGGGUGACUGAGCGGCGGACGGGUGAGUAACGCGUGGGUAACCUGCCUCAUACAGGGGGAUAACAGUUAGAAAUGACUGCUAAUACCGCAUAAGCGCACAGGACCGCAUGGUCUGGUGUGAAAAAACUCCGGUGGUAUGAGAUGGACCCGCGGCGCAUUAGCUGGUUGGUGAGGUAACGGCCCACCAAGGCGACGAUCGGUAGCCGGACUGAGAGGUUGAACGGCCACAUUGGGACUGAGACACGGCCCAGACUCCUACGGGAGGCAGCAGUGGGGAAUAUUGCACAAUGGGCGAAAGCCUGACGGAGCAACGCCGCGUGAGUGAAGAAGGUCUUCGGAUCGUAAAGCUCUGUUGUCGGGGACGAAUGUUGAGACCUAGAACAUAGGUUUCAAAUGACGGUACCUGACGAGGAAGCCACGGCUAACUACGUG
RNAcentral lists this ribosomal RNA (497 nucleotides) under uncultured bacterium. Its description in RNAcentral is "bacterial SSU rRNA". It matches the Rfam family "Bacterial small subunit ribosomal RNA", at positions 29 to 507 of the family's 1533-position model. The record is from RNAcentral.